RNAcentral lists this ribosomal RNA (690 nucleotides) under Entoloma mastoideum. RNAcentral describes it as "eukaryotic LSU rRNA". The stretch from base 280 to 433 matches the Rfam family "5.8S ribosomal RNA". The record is from RNAcentral. Lineage: Eukaryota; Fungi; Basidiomycota; Agaricomycetes; Agaricales; Entolomataceae.
GGGUCUGCGGAAGGAUCAUUAAUGAAAUAAAUUUGGUCUAGGCUGUUGCUGGCUCCUCGGAGCAAUGUGCACGUCUAUUCCGACUUUACACCCACCUGUGCACUUUGUGUAGAUCUGAACAAAUGUCGAGGUAAACUCGGUCUCAGGGAUUGCUGUGCGAUGUGUCUUUGCCGGCUUUCUCUUCACACUUCAGAUCUAUGUUUCCAAUACACUCCAUGUCAAACAUCAUUGAAAUAAUAUUGCUAGGGCAUAUAUAUGCCUAUGUAUAAUAUAUAUAACAACUUUCAACAACGGAUCUCUUGGCUCUCGCAUCGAUGAAGAACGCAGCGAAAUGCGAUAAGUAAUGUGAAUUGCAGAAUUCAGUGAAUCAUCGAAUCUUUGAACGCACCUUGCGCUCCUUGGUAUUCCGAGGAGCAUGCCUGUUUGAGUAUCAUGAAAUUCUCAACCUUUCUAAGCUUUUUCGUAAAAGCCGAGUUAGGCUUGGAUUCUGGGAGUGUGUGCUGGCCUGUUAACAAAGUCAGCUCUCCUUAAAUUUAUUAGCAAGAUUUUGAUAGCUAAGGUCGCUAAUUGAUAUGAUAAACUAUCUAUAUCAUUGGUGAAACAGCGUAAAAAGAAAAAUCUGGCUCCCUAAUCGUCUUUCUAGACAAUUUCUUGAUUCAUUAGGUCUCAAGAUCAGUAUGCCUGUACGGG